This 73-nucleotide transfer RNA is filed under the name Pseudomonadota bacterium. Its description in RNAcentral is "tRNA-Thr". It matches the Rfam family "tRNA". Rfam says of the family: Transfer RNA (tRNA) molecules are approximately 80 nucleotides in length. Their secondary structure includes four short double-helical elements and three loops (D, anti-codon, and T loops). RNAcentral also lists the same sequence under 1 other name. The record is from RNAcentral. Lineage: Bacteria; Pseudomonadati; Pseudomonadota.
GCCGCCUUAGCUCAGUGGCUAGAGCGUCCCGCUUGUAACGGGAAGGUCCAGGGUUCAAAUCCCUGAGGCGGCU